CAGCAGCCACGGGAAAACGUAGGGCGCAAGCGUUAUCCGGAAUUAUUGGGCGUAAAGAGCUCGUAGGCGGUUUGUCGCGUCUGCCGUGAAAGUCCGGGGCUCAACCCCGGAUCUGCGGUGGGUACGGGCAGACUAGAGUGAUGUAGGGGAGACUGGAAUUCCUGGUGUAGCGGUGAAAUGCGCAGAUAUCAGGAGGAACACCGAUGGCGAAGGCAGGUCUCUGGGCAUUAACUGACGCUGAGGAGCGAAAGCAUGGGGAGCGAACAGGAUUAGAUACCCCCAGUAGUCCCUGUCUCUUAUA
Molecule: ribosomal RNA, 301 nt
Filed under: uncultured bacterium
Lineage: Bacteria
Description: partial 16S ribosomal RNA
Rfam family: Bacterial small subunit ribosomal RNA
Source: RNAcentral